AGCAGUGUGGCUCAGUGGAAAGAGCCCGGGCUUGGGAGUCAGAGGUCAUGGGUUCGAAUCCCGGCUCUGCCA
Molecule: non-coding RNA, 72 nt
Organism: Ornithorhynchus anatinus (platypus)
Lineage: Eukaryota; Metazoa; Chordata; Mammalia; Monotremata; Ornithorhynchidae
Source: Rfam